CUCUGAAGCAUUUACCGAUGUACCACAUGUACAGUCUGCUAUCGAUGUCCGAUUAUCCGAUUAUCGAUAUCGCUCUACUCUACACAAAGUACCCUGAAGGUACCGUACCCUGCAGUGGAGAUGCUCUGUUUCUAGUGUGAUUCUGGUAACUAGCGAAGGUACGCCCCAACCAACAUUUGUGUUGCGUUAGCGCAGAGACCUGUUUCUCGCGAAUCAUCUAGAAGUCUGCCCCAGUGAAGCAGCUCUCACUCCACUGCUCCAGAAGGUGAGAAGGUAUCCAAAACCAUUCCAUUCGAAAGAGAAGCAGGAUGCAGAAGACAGCCCGAUGAAAAUCAAUUUGAUGCCCACAGUCGACCCAGGCAAAGCAGCACCCGGUCAACACUGUUUUUUUGGCAGUUUAGUCGUGUGAUUAUUUCACCUUCAGAUCUCAGCUCAAACAAGAGAACCCGCCGAAUUUAAGCAUAUUAUUAAGCGGAGGAAAAGAAACUAACUAGGAUUCCCCCAGUAAGGGCGACUGAAGCGGGAAGAGCUCAAGAUGAAAAUCUGCGCUAUGCGCCGAAUUGUGGUCUGAAGACUGUGGUGCUAUCAGCCGGGCCAAGUCCCUUGGAACAGGGCAGCUGAGAGGGUGAGACUCCCGUUCGCCCGGCAGAGUGAACCAUUAGUCGACGAGUCGGGUUGUUUGGGAUUGCAGCUCAAAGUGGGUGGUAAAUUCCAUCUAAAGCUAAAUACAGGUGGGAGACCGAUAGCGUACAAGUACCGUGAGGGAAAGAUGCAAAGAACUUUGAAAAGAGAGUUAAAGAGUACCUGAAACUGCUGAAAAGGAAGCGAAGGAAACCAGUGUUGGCUUGGUCAUACUUCCCUGACCGCUUGCGGUUUGGGCGCUGUGUCCAGCUGUAGUUGUUUGGGAUUGAGGUCCUUGGAAGAGCGCAGCAAGAGUUGAUUACUGCUGCUGGCAUCGACCUCGAUCCAAAGACGAA
This 977-nucleotide ribosomal RNA is filed under the name Navicula phyllepta. RNAcentral's name for it is "eukaryotic LSU rRNA". The stretch from base 423 to 977 matches the Rfam family "Eukaryotic large subunit ribosomal RNA", at positions 1 to 576 of the family's 3401-position model. Lineage: Eukaryota; Bacillariophyta; Bacillariophyceae; Naviculales; Naviculaceae. The record is from RNAcentral.